UUGAGGAGAGAAGCCGGUUCUACAUCUCGGCACUGUUCCAUCAUUUUAGGAGAACAUAAUUUUGGUAUGGGAGGGUGAGUGUGUUCUUCACAGUCCCCACCUUUUAAAGAGGAAAUAGAUGCACAAAUAGUGGCUAUUGUUUUGAGAUAAAUGAAAAAAAAACAUUGACUGUCUCACCAAUGAUUCCCCCACGUUGCAUAUCUGAAUAAGGUUCCCUUCCUGUUAAAAUUUCCUAUAGCAAAAUGUG
This 247-nucleotide long non-coding RNA is filed under the name Brassica rapa (field mustard). RNAcentral describes it as "long non-coding RNA (BRAP_LNC005033)". The record is from RNAcentral. Lineage: Eukaryota; Viridiplantae; Streptophyta; Magnoliopsida; Brassicales; Brassicaceae.